CUUCUGUGUUGACUGUUGUGGUAUGAGAGCAGAGAAAAUGCACUGUGUUUUUCCUGAAACACAAGACUUGGAGGCCCACAUCACUCUUGCCCCGAGUAGUGUUUUUCUCUCAAGAUGCUCAGAAGGAAUCUUUAAACAAAGAUGAUCAAGGAAAUGAAGCUUAUUUAUGGGUCUGUUUUGAAGGUGGAACCAGGGAUUCCUCGAUUGGCCAAUGACUUGAGUGAGUAGGAGGAGCCGUCACUCCAUCAUACCAAUCAGAAGCCAAGUAUUGGUUCCCACCCUAUGACAUACCACCUCCAAUUGGCCAAUAGAAGCAGAGAGAAGGGCUAGGAGGUGGGGCCUGCCUGGCCGCCAUGGUAAUCCCCUGUGGUUGGUGAUCAAGGAAGAGCUUCCAUGUAGCACCGGUAGUGCCAGAUCCAGGUGUUUACACUGAUGUCUGAUGAGGAUGAGUCCAGCGACUAUCUCUGCCUGUCCAUCCUGAGCCUCUUCUGUUGCCUUCCCUUCGCCAUCCCAGCCGUGAUCUUUUCUUGCCUGACAAAGAAGUACAAUAAAUCCAGUGACUAUGAGCUGGCAGCCAAGACCUCCAAACAAGCCUUCUACUGGGCCAUCACGAGCAUCACUGUGGGAAUCUUAGGCACCAUCUUGUACACCUACCUAUUAUACUUACUUAGAUAGUAAACUGCUUCCCAGCUCUUGGACAAACCACCAAAUACACACCGCAGUGCAAUUUACCUUGGCUCUAAGCAUCUACUUGGGCUGAACGGAACACCUGCUCCUCAAUGUCUGGAGUGCCAAGCUAUCUAAGAUUAGAAAAACAAAAUGCAAAGUAUUCUUCCUAUUCUUACAUGCCCCUCAACGUAACACUGCUUUUUUUUUUUUUUUUUUUUUGACAGAGUCUUGCUCUGUCCAGGCUGGAGUGCAGUGCCGUGAUCUCAGCUCACUGCAACCUCUGCCCCCCAGGUUUAAGCGAUUCUUCUGCCUCAGCCUCCUGAGUAGCUGGGAUUACAGGUGCACACCAUCCAUCAUGCCCAGCUAAUUUUGUAUUUUUAGUAGAGACGGGGUUUUACCAUGUUGGCCAGGCUGGUCUCAAACUCCUGACCUCAGGUGAUCCACUCACCUUAGCUUUCCAAAGUGCUGGGGUUACAGGUGUAAACCAUCAUACCAGGCCUCAGCAUAACACUUUUAACACCAAAUAUUAGAGCCGGGAGCAGGGGUACUUUCCCCACCUAUCAACCAACCAGAUUCUCCAGCAGAUACCAAUUGGGUGUCCUGUAAUUUAAUUCAAUUCUGACACUGUCUACAUGGAGAUGGCAUCAGAUCCCACAGGUUGAAGGCUCAAUCCCAUAAGACUCCCCCCUAACUUUGGAUAUCAGCCACAAGUGGUAAGUCGUUACCUAGACUUGUGACUGACAAGCUAUAAAUCUGACAAGUUAUAAUUCGGGUGUUCCCAUGACCCCCCUCCUCAAGCCUGAUUAAUUUGUUCCAGCUGGCCAGGUGCAGUAGCUCAGGCCUGUAAUUCCAGCACUUUGAGUGGCUGAGGCAGGAAGAUCGCUUGAAGCCAGGAGUUUGAGACCAGCCUGGCCAACAUGGCAAAACCCCGUCUCUACUAAAAAUUAGCCGGGUGUGAUGGCACACGCCUAUAAUCCCAGCUACUUAGGAGGCUGAGGCAGGAGAAUCACUUAAACCUGGGAGGUGGAGGUUGCAGAGAGCUGAGAUCGCACCACUGCACUCCAGCCUGGGCAACACAGUGAGACUCCAUCCAAAAUAAUAAUAAUAAUAAAUAAAAUUUUUUUUAAAAAAGACACUCUUAUCACGCCAGAGAUCCCAAGGGUUUUAGGAGCUCUGGGCCACAAAAUGGGACCUAGACCAAUAUAUAUUUCACAGUAUCACACAAGUGUUGCCAGCCUGGGUCGGCAGCUUGAAGGAAAGGAAGUGGUAGCUCCAGCAGCCCACUCGACCAGAACUCAAGACCAACUCUGGGACCCUGCCAUGGCAUGGGGGCCAUGGGAGAGAGAGGAGGAACCCGUUGCUCAAGAACAGCCUGCCCACAUUCAUGUAUUCACAUCAGAAGUCUAGUUCUGCCUACCAAGGGCCUUGGCUGUGCUACCUAACCCUGGAGACCUAGCAGUGACUACUUCAAAUUCAACCCAACCCCCUCAGAACAUAUAAAUUGGGGUGAGAGACAGACAUGCCGCCAGACAGUGACAAUUGGAGUGGUCCAAUAUAUAAUGGAAGAAAACUGGGGAAGCAUUACUAAAGAAACACUUGUUCAAUGACACUCGUUAUAGACAGUAAGGCAGGCCAGACACAGUGGAUCAUGCCUGUAGUCCCAGCACUUUGGGAGGCCGAGGCGGGCGGAUCACUUGAGCUCAGGAGUUCAAGACCAGCCUGGCCAACAUGGUGAAACCCUGUCUCUACUAAAAAUACAAAAUUAGCUGGGCAUGGUGAUGGGCACCUGUAAUCCCAGCUACUCAGGAAGCUGAGGCAUGAGAAUUGCUUGAACCUGGCAGGCAGAGGUUGCAGUGAGUCAAGAUCUCACCACUGCACUCCGGCCUGUGGGACAGAGCAAGACUGACUCUGUCUCAAAAAAAAAAAAAAAAAAAAAAAGACAGUAAGGCAGACUUUAUUCAGAACCAUUGCAAUAUGCAGAGGGAACGCUGCAAAACAGGGGCUUGCACUGAGGGAGAAAGAUGGGGCUCAACACUGAAUACAGCAUGAGCAAGCGGGAAGUCCUAGUCAAGGAGCAGGGUAGGGGUCAGUGGAUGGAAAAUUAGUAAGAGAAAACAUUGAGGGUAAGGGGGAUUCUGACUAAACCAACCUAAUAGGAUUCUAGACCAGACAUCACAAUGAGGAUGGUGGAGGUUGAGGAACCUGAUCAGAUGCUGAGGUUUAUCAGAUACAGAGGAUGAGGGUUUCUAGCUAAACUGACGUAGAAGGGUUAUUUUGCUACAACUGGAUUUUACAAAGAAGUGCACAGAUGGGCCUAGGAGAAGGUUCAGGUGCUUUUUUUUUUUUUUUUUUUGAGACGGAGUCUUGCUCUGUCACCCAGGCUGGAAUGCAGUGGUGCGAUCUCGGCUCACUACAACCUCGGCUUCCCAUGUUCAAGCCAUUCUCCUGCCUCAGCCUCCUGAGUAGCUGUGAUUACAGGUGGUUGCCCCCAUGCCCGGCUAAUUUUUUAAAUAUUUUUAGUAGAGAUGGGGAUUCACCAUGUUGGUGAGGCUGGUCUUGAACUCCUGACCUCGUGAUCCACCUGCCUCGGCCUCCCAAAAUGCUGGGAUUACAGGCCUUAGCCAUUGCACCUGGCCUUUCUUCUCUUUUUUCUUUUUUUCUUUUUUUUUUUUUUUUUGAGACAGGAUCUCGCUCUCUCACCCAGGCUGGAGUGCGGUGGCACGAUCUCGGCUCAAUGCAACCUCUGCCUCCCAGGUUCAGGUGAUUCUCCUGCCUUGGCCUCCUGAGUAG
This is a long non-coding RNA of Macaca mulatta (Rhesus monkey), 3459 nucleotides long. Lineage: Eukaryota; Metazoa; Chordata; Mammalia; Primates; Cercopithecidae. The record is from Ensembl.